This 468-nucleotide ribosomal RNA is filed under the name uncultured bacterium. Its description in RNAcentral is "partial 16S ribosomal RNA". It matches the Rfam family "Bacterial small subunit ribosomal RNA", at positions 28 to 507 of the family's 1533-position model. The record is from RNAcentral.
GACGAACGCUGGCGGCGUGCUUAACACAUGCAAGUCGAACGGAAAGGCCCUGCUUUUGUGGGGUGCUCGAGUGGCGAACGGGUGUGUAUCACGUGAGUAACCUGCCCUUGACUUUGGGAUAACUUCAGGAAACUGGGGCUAAUACCGGAUAGGAGCUCCUGCUGCAUGGUGGGGGUUGGAAAGUUUCGGCGGUUGGGGAUGGACUCGCGGGUUAUCAGCUUGUUGGUGGGGUAGUUGCUUACCAAGGCUUUGACGGGUAGCCGGCCUGAGAGGGUGACCGGGCACAUUGGGCCUGAGAGAGGGCCCAGACUCGAACGGGAGGCAGCAGUGGGGAAUCUGGCACAAUGGGCGCAAGUCUGAUGCGGCAACGCCGCGUGCGGGAUGACGGCUUUCGGGUUAUAAACAGCUGUCGCCGGUGACGAAGAGGGAGUGACGGUAAUGGGUAAAGAAGCACCGGCUAACUACGUG